UGGGGAAUUUUGCGCAAUGGGGGAAACCCUGACGCAGCAACGCCGCGUGCGGGACGAAGGCCCUCGGGUCGUAAACCGCUUUCAGCAGGGAAGACCUUACGACGGUACCUGCAGAAGAAGCUCCGGCUAACUACGUGCCAGCAGCCGCGGUAAUACGUAGGGGGCGAGCGUUAUCCGGAUUCAUUGGGCGUAAAGCGCGCGUAGGCGGCCGCCUAAGCGGAACCUCUAACCCCGGGGCUCAACCUCGGGCCGGGUUCCGGACUGGGCGGCUCGAGUGCGGUAGAGGAGAGCGGAAUUCCCGGU
Molecule: ribosomal RNA, 303 nt
Filed under: uncultured bacterium
Lineage: Bacteria
Description: bacterial SSU rRNA
Rfam family: Bacterial small subunit ribosomal RNA
Source: RNAcentral